This is a non-coding RNA of Phrynosoma platyrhinos (Desert horned lizard), 74 nucleotides long. Lineage: Eukaryota; Metazoa; Chordata; Lepidosauria; Squamata; Phrynosomatidae. The record is from the annotation of a GenBank genome assembly.
GAGCUAGCAUGGUGCAGUGGUUUGAAUGUUGGACUACAAUUCUGGAGACCAGGGUUGAAUUCCCAGCUGGGUCA